UACUUUGAGGUUGAAUAAAAAUUUUUAGUUUAUAGUUAAGUUGUUUGAUUUAAAAAUAUUAUAAGUAAUAGCAAGUGAAAUUGAUUAUUAUAUUGUAUGAAAAAUAAAUCUGAGCUGAAGCUGAGAAGAUUUAAUAAAAGACUAGGAUUAGAUACCCUAUUAUUAAAAAAUAAAGUUAUAAAAACUUAAUUAGUAAGAGAUAAGUACUUAAAAUUUAAAAAAUUUGGCGGUAAUUUAAUCUUUUCAGAGGAACCUGUUUUUGAAUCGAUAAUCCACGAAGAAUCUUACUUGUCUUUGUUUAUAUUUCAGUUUGUAUACCAUCAUUACAAAUAAUUUUUAGAGAAAUAAAUUAUUAAGCGUAAAUAUAUUAUAAAAAUUAGAUCAUGGUGCAGUCUAUAGAUAAGGUAAAAUGGGUUACAAUAAAUUAUUUUAUACGGAUUAGUAAAAAGAAUUUAUGCUAUGAAGGAGGAUUUGAUUGUAUUUAGGGUUUAAUAAGCUUUAAAGAUAUAAGCUCUAAAUUAUGUACAUAUCGCCCGUCGCUUUCGUCUAUAAGCGAAAUAAGUCGUAACAUA
RNAcentral lists this ribosomal RNA (572 nucleotides) under Macrophthalmus japonicus. RNAcentral's name for it is "partial 12S ribosomal RNA". Lineage: Eukaryota; Metazoa; Arthropoda; Malacostraca; Decapoda; Macrophthalmidae. The record is from RNAcentral.